This 24-nucleotide non-coding RNA is filed under the name Arabidopsis thaliana (thale cress). Lineage: Eukaryota; Viridiplantae; Streptophyta; Magnoliopsida; Brassicales; Brassicaceae. The record is from RNAcentral.
AGAGUUGUCAAAUCGGGGUGUCCA